Molecule: ribosomal RNA, 471 nt
Filed under: Triticum aestivum (bread wheat)
Lineage: Eukaryota; Viridiplantae; Streptophyta; Magnoliopsida; Poales; Poaceae
Description: partial small subunit ribosomal RNA
Source: RNAcentral
AUGGGAGAUAAAAAUAAAGAUAAGAUGGGAGAUGCCAGUGUAGACAAAUUAUGUGAGAGUAUGCAAAAGUUAUUUGCCCAGCUUGUUGAGCAAUCCCAGCAAAAAUCUAAAGGAACCAUCACUUUGGAGCCUACCCCGGUCAGGCUUUCUGGACCUGGAAACUAUUUCAGUUGGUCACGGCAUGCUACUCUGAUUCUAGGAUCUCAUGGCCUCAAAUAUUUUUUGGACGGCACUUCUGUGAAACCAGAUGAUAAAUUGGAGUUGGAGCAAUGGGAACCGAAUGAGCAGCGUGUUAUGGUGUGGUUGUUGGGGUCGAUGGAGCCUUCGGUUCAUGAGCAGGUUGAGAACCUGCAAACUACAGCAGAAGUGUGGAAGGAAAUUGGACAGCAACUCUCUGGCAAAACAAACAAGAUGCAAGUGACAAGGGUGCUCCAUGAGAUGACAAACUUAAACAAGGAGAGAGGUCUAUAA